Molecule: long non-coding RNA, 1244 nt
Filed under: Homo sapiens (human)
Lineage: Eukaryota; Metazoa; Chordata; Mammalia; Primates; Hominidae
Description: long independently transcribed non-coding RNA 2843 (LINC02843)
Source: RNAcentral
UAGCAUUCACCAAGGAUGAACUGAAAGCAGGAUCUGUCUCACCAUACACUGAGAACUGUAGAAUAUGCAAGGCACAUGGAACUUAUUUUCUUACGUAUAAAAGCGUGUAUAUGCUCCUUAUACAUCUGUCCUAAUGCUUUCCAACAGUCCUCACUCUAAGCCUCACCAAGACCCAGAUGAGGAAACAAAGGCACAGAGGGAUAAACUCAGAGCAGGAAGACAGCAAGGAAUAGCAGUGAAAAGCAUGGUGCUUAAUCCAACCCCUUACUCACUGCUGAGACCUGGAAAUGUGUUCAUCAGCUACAAAACAGGAGAGAUGAUAACUCAUUAUGUAUAUGUGAUGAUAAACAGAGACAAUAUAUUGAAGAGCUUAUAUGAGUGGCAGACACGGGACAUGCUUCCCUGUGGCUGGCCAGCGUGUCAUCUUCUCCAUGUGUCCAGAGAAAAGCUUUGCAAAUCAACCUCUCGAUGAAUGAUGACGGCACCAGUGAAAUCAGGGGAGGCAGAAAAUCAUGUUAGUUUGGUUUAUAAUGCAAGAAGUUACAGAACACAGAGUGCUCAAAACUAAGAAUGUGCUAGUUGUAUAACAGGGUCCUUCUUGGGACUCAGCCAGGAUUCAAACUAUAAAGGAAAAUCGGGUGAGCAGGUGGGAUAGUCAAGUGAUUCUAUUUGCAUGAAUAAUUUUGUGAGAUGAUACCUUCUUGUCCAGGAACAUUGAGCAGUGCUCGUGCUGGGUGGAUUGUGAUGUGGAAACCCUGGGAGAUGUCACGUCUGACAUCAACUUUCUCCCAGGUGACAGCUGCACCCUCUAAAGGCUUCUCAAAUGACAGAGCUCAAUGAAUAUAGAAGGGAAAAGUAUGAGGAUGACCUAUGAGCACAGGGUGGACAGUCUCUGCGGUGGGCAGGCAUUAGCAAAGGAGAGACCUUCUGUAUUAUGCAGAGUGGAAUUUUCCAGAGGCUACAUGAUGAGUGACGUCACGACAGAUUGAGUACAGAGCCAACUAUGAGAAUCCAGCUGCCUUCUAUUAAGGUACCCUUUCUGUGGAUACCUUCAAGUUCCAGCACCAAAUAUGAAGGCGACUGCCAUCACCAGCUCCCACCCCUACAUGAGGUCAAAUCCCUGGAUGGCAUAUAACACACUAGAGCAAUUAAGAGGAUCUAACUAAAGGUGGGGAAGGAAAAAUGUGUGUACAGAGACAGGAAGUCAUGGACACAGUUAUAUUGAAAGAUACAAUGACCUCCUC